This 552-nucleotide ribosomal RNA is filed under the name uncultured bacterium. RNAcentral describes it as "bacterial SSU rRNA". It matches the Rfam family "Bacterial small subunit ribosomal RNA", at positions 517 to 1066 of the family's 1533-position model. The record is from RNAcentral.
GCGGUAAUACGUAGGGUGCAAGCGUUAAUCGGAAUUACUGGGCGUAAAGCGUGCGCAGGCGGUUUUGUAAGCCAGAUGUGAAAUCCCCGAGCUUAACCUGGGAAUUGCGCUUGUGACUGCAUAGCUAGAGUGUGUCAGAGGGGGGUAGAAUUCCACGUGUAGCAGUGAAAUGCGUAGAGAUGUGGAGGAAUACCAAUGGCGAAGGCAGCCCCCUGGGAUAACACUGACGCUCAUGCACGAAAGCGUGGGGAGCAAACAGGAUUAGAUACCCUGGUAGUCCACGCCCUAAACGAUGCUGACUAGUUGUUCGGGAAUUUAUUCCUGAGUAACGUAGCUAACGCGUGAAGUCAGCCGCCUGGGGAGUACGGUCGCAAGAUUAAAACUCAAAGGAAUUGACGGGGACCCGCACAAGCGGUGGAUGAUGUGGAUUAAUUCGAUGCAACGCGAAAAACCUUACCUACCCUUGACAUGCCACUAACGAAGUAGAGAUACAUUAGGUGCCCGUAAGGGAAAGUGGACACAGGUGCUGCAUGGCUGUCGUCAGCUCGUGUC